GACGAACGCUGUCGGCGUGCUUAACACAUGCAAGUCGAACGGAAAGGCCCUGCUUUUGUGGGGUGCUCGAGUGGCGAACGGGUGAGUAACACGUGAGUAACCUGCCCUUGACUUUGGGAUAACUUCAGGAAACUGGGGCUAAUACCGGAUAGGAGCUCCUGCUGCAUGGUGGGGGUUGGAAAGUUUCGGCGGUUGGGGAUGGACUCGCGGCUUAUCAGCUUGUUGGUGGGGUAGUGGCUUACCAAGGCUUUGACGGGUAGCCGGCCUGAGAGGGUGACCGGCCGCAUUGGGACUGAGAUACGGCCCAGACUCCUACGGGAGGCAGCAGUGGGGAAUAUUGCACAAUGGGCGGAAGCCUGAUGCAACAACGCCGCGUGCGGGAUGACGGCCUUCGGGUUGUAAACCGCUUUCGCCUGUGACGAAGCGUGAGUGACGGUAAUGGGUAAAGAAGCACCGGCUAACUACGUGCCAGCAGCCGCGGUGAUACGUAGGGUGCGAGCGUUGUCCGGAUUUAUUGGGCGAAAAGGGCUCGUAGGUGGUUGAUCGCGUCGGAAGUGUAAUCUUGGGGCUUAACCCCUGAGCGUGCUUUCGAUACGGGUUGACUUGAGGAAGGUAGGGGAGAAUGGAAUUCCUGGUGGAGCGGUGGAAUGCGCAGAUAUCAGGAGGAACACCAGUGGCGAAGGCGGUUCUCUGGGCCUUUCCUGACGCUGAGGAGCGAAAGCGUGGGGAGCGAACAGGCUUAGAUACCCUGGUAGUCCACGCUGUAAACGGUGGGUACUAGGUGUGGGGUCCAUUCCACGGGUUCCGUGCCGUAGCUAACGCUUUAAGUACCCCGCCUGGGGAGUACGGCCGCAAGGCUAAAACUCAAAGGAAUUGACGGGGCCCCGCACAAGCGGCGGAGCAUGCGGAUUAAUUCGAUGCAACGCGUAGAACCUUACCUGGGUUUGACAUGGAUCGGGAGUGCUCAGAGAUGGGUGUGCCUCUUUUGGGGUCGGUUCACAGGUGGUGCGUGGCUGUCGUCAGCUCGUGUCGUGAGAUGUUGGGUUAAGUCCCGCAACGAGCGCAACCCUUGUUCACUGUUGCCAGCACGUUAUGGUGGGGACUCAGUGGAGACCGCCGGGGUCAACUCGGAGGAAGGUGGGGAUGACGUCAAGUCAUCAUGCCCCUUAUGUCCAGGGCUUCACGCAUGCUACAAUGGCUGGUACAGAGAGUGGCGAGCCUGUGAGGGUGAGCGAAUCUCGGAAAGCCGGUCUCAGUUCGGAUUGGGGUCUGCAACUCGACCUCAUGAGGUCGGAGUCGCUAGUAAUCGCAGAUCAGCAACGCUGCGGUGAAUACGUUCCCGGG
This 1344-nucleotide ribosomal RNA is filed under the name uncultured bacterium. RNAcentral's name for it is "16S ribosomal RNA". It matches the Rfam family "Bacterial small subunit ribosomal RNA", at positions 28 to 1378 of the family's 1533-position model. The record is from RNAcentral.